GUGCAACACAAAAAAUCUUAGCAACUUCACUUUACUGGAAAGACAAUUGAAUAUACAUGGAAAUGACAAUUGAAUCUACAUGGAAAUGAGCUAUUGCAAAUCAUGUAGUUCAGAAACAUAGACACGGUCUGAGUGGUUUACUAGGUUUAGAUCAGCAUGUAAAUCUUUUGUUUCUUUUCUAUUAUGUAUUCCAAUGCUUGAAUAUUGGUCUUAUUAACGAACCAUCUAUUUGAAAAGUCAGUCCAGAUCUUGGAGCAUGAACGUGGGCAAUAUGACUUGCAACAUCAGGCUAAGGGACCGGCUGGGUUGCACUUGACAUCCAACCAGGUAUGACACUUUAAGCGGGUGACAUCAGUCCUUGGAGUGGCUGUAAUAAGAAUCAUUUCAAAAUUGUCACUAAUUUAAAAAGAAAUGCACAAAAAGUUUAACUGGUAUAACUUAUGCCAUUAAACCCCAAAUGAAAUACACCUAUUACAGGAGCCAUUGCACUACCCACUGUGAAAAGUUACA
Molecule: long non-coding RNA, 510 nt
Filed under: Olea europaea subsp. europaea
Lineage: Eukaryota; Viridiplantae; Streptophyta; Magnoliopsida; Lamiales; Oleaceae
Source: RNAcentral